This is a long non-coding RNA of Cydia strobilella, 933 nucleotides long. RefSeq lists it as uncharacterized. The record is from RefSeq and is a predicted model, not a curated record. The transcript is spliced from 3 exons. NCBI's taxonomy places the organism in Eukaryota, Metazoa, Arthropoda, Insecta, Lepidoptera, Tortricidae.
AAAACAUUUCGGCUACUGGAGGAUCAAGUUUGGUGGCGCUAUUUUCUACAAAAGCUCCUCUAAACAUUCUAACCUUUCUCCAAACUUCUGACGGCUUCUGAACAUUCAGAAUCCCACCAUGGAGGACUGGGAAUAUUAAAUUUAGAGGACUUCUUAUGUGGAAAUACUUCAUCAGCUAUAUUAAUUAUAAACUUAGCAAAGGCAUCAGAAGUUUUAAACAAAUGUUCCAAGAUACAUCAGGCAAUUCUUCCAACCUCUCAUCCAUAUGUUUACGAAACUUAUCCCAAUCUGCAUUUUGAAGUUUAUAUGCUAACAGUGGAGAUCUUUUAAAAAAUGGUUUGUUUUUAGAAGGAAAAGAAAUGACAAUCGGAGAAUGAUCACUGCCAUAGGACAGAGGGAGUACCUCCCAGAGUAAGGAGUGUGCAAUGGAAGAGCUACAAAUUGAUAAGUCUAAUGCACUAGGAUUCUCAUUGGGAGCAGACCGACGCGUGGGAACACCUGAGUUCAAUAUAUAUAAAUCAUAAUACUCUGCUAUGUCUAUUAUUUCCUCUCCUAAACUACUAGCAUUGUAACACCCCCAAGCUGGGUGAUGGCAAUUAAAAUCUCCUAAUAUUAAACAUGGAGUAGGAAGAGAUGAUAUGAUAUUUCUUACUUCACUAAGUAUGGCUAUCGAGGGAUGAGGUAUGUACACUGAAACUAUACAAAUGUUAUCUACAAGUGCUGAAAUAAUGGAAAAUUCAUUAUUAUGAGGUGCUAAUGAAACAUGAGAGAAAUGAUAUGAUUUUUUUACAAGAAUGGCUACGCCACCAUGCCCAUCCGACCUAUCUUCACGGAGGCAGGCAUAGCCAGGAAUUCUGAAACAUAACUCGGACCUGAGCCAUGUUUCAGUUAGGAAUUUUGGAAUUGUUGGCCAUUGUUGAAGGAAAGAUGAGA